Molecule: ribosomal RNA, 253 nt
Filed under: uncultured bacterium
Lineage: Bacteria
Description: partial 16S ribosomal RNA
Rfam family: Bacterial small subunit ribosomal RNA
Source: RNAcentral
CACGUAGGGUGCGAGCGUUGUCCGGAAUUAUUGGGCGUAAAGGGCUCGUAGGCGGUUUGUCGCGUCGGGAGUGAAAACCUUGGGCUUAACUCAGGGCUUGCUUUCGAUACGGGCAGACUAGAGGUAUGCAGGGGAGAACGGAAUUCCUGGUGUAGCGGUGAAAUGCGCAGAUAUCAGGAGGAACACCGGUGGCGAAGACGGUUCUCUGGGCAUGAUCUGACGCUGAGGAGCGAAAGUGUGGGGAGCGAACAGG